CCUACGGGUGGCAGCAGUAGGGAAUAUUGCUCAAUGGGGGAAACCCUGAAGCAGCAACGCCGCGUGGAGGAUGAAGGUUUUCGGAUUGUAAACUCCUUUUGUUAGAGAAGAUAAUGACGGUAUCUAACGAAUAAGCACCGGCUAACGCCGUGCCAGCAGCCGCGGUAAUACGGAGGGUGCAAGCGUUACUCGGAAUCACUGGGCGUAACGGGCGCGUAGGCGGGAUAGCAAGUCAGAUGUGAAAUCCUAUGGCUUAACCAUAGAACUGCAUUUGAAACGGUUAUUCGAGAGUAUGGGAGAGGUAGCUGGUAUUCUUGGUGUAGGGGUAAAAUCCGUCGAGAUCAAGAGGAAUACUCAUUGCGACGGCGACCUGCUAGAGCAUAACUGACGCUGCUGCGCGACAGCGUGGGGAGCAAACAGGAUUAGAUACCCCGGUAGUC
This 440-nucleotide ribosomal RNA is filed under the name uncultured bacterium. Its description in RNAcentral is "partial 16S ribosomal RNA". It matches the Rfam family "Bacterial small subunit ribosomal RNA", at positions 338 to 795 of the family's 1533-position model. The record is from RNAcentral.